CUUCCAUGAUACUUUAAAUAGCAAGCUGUCUGAGGACAGGGUAGAAUCUACAGUUAAAGAUGUUAUUAAAAAUUUACCUGUAUUUCUUAUUUUCAAAAUAUUACCAGUUCGGACAUUUAACAUUUGAAGGAUUUACAUUAACAUUGUGGAUUUAAAAUAUUGUUUGAAGAGGAUUUAUAUCAUUUGGACAUACUGAAUUCACUUUGGAUUUGUGAAUAAUUUGGAGUUAUAGCUCUUAGGAUUUAAGUUUGACCAGGACAGGAAUUGGACUUUUUUUGCAUAUUUAUAUUGGCCUUUGCAAUAACUCACAGUGCUGGAUAUAUUCCCACAUAUCGACAUAAAUCCAGCAAAGAUCAAUAGAAAACUUGUUGUCAAUGACAUUUUUAAAUAGAAAAAUGGAAAAUCCACAGGACAAAAUCGAAAUUGUACGGUUUGAUUGAGCCUGUUCAUGGACAGUAGUGGAAAUGCAACCUAUUGCCAUGAUGCAAGAAGAUAAAUCUGACAAUUAACGGUCACUGUGAAUCAUCGGAAGUACCGGUAUCAUCUUCAUCAUAAUUAAAAAGUGAAAAUAAAUUGAACCUUUUAGUACUUCAGUUCAAUUUGUCGAUCAUCUAUUAAUUAUGUUAACAGUUAUUCAACCAUUUUUACGAAUAACAACAACUUAAUUAUUGGAGGCAUUCACAUUGUUCUGACAUUAAAAGGAUGUGAAUUUUGUUCUACAAAGCAGCAUGAAUGCAUUUGCCGAGUUUGAUAGUGUAUACAGCUGGAACUUUUGCUUAGAAUAAUCUUGUGUUUCAGAUAAAUUAAAUUUAGACUACUGUAUUUAUCAUCAGAUUAAUUUCCACUUGCAUAACUGUGCCUAUUUUUAAUUCAUUAAAUGUUUUAAAUAUUUUAAAUAACUAAAUUUCAGGCAUUAAUAUGCGUCACUGUAUGAGCUUGUGCGUGAAAAUAUAUUUAACUAAAAUUGAAUAAAAAACAUAAUUUUAAAGA
Mercenaria mercenaria is the source of this 990-nucleotide long non-coding RNA. RefSeq lists it as uncharacterized. NCBI's taxonomy places the organism in Eukaryota, Metazoa, Mollusca, Bivalvia, Venerida, Veneridae. The record is from RefSeq and is a predicted model, not a curated record. The transcript is spliced from 2 exons.